GAGCGGUAGAGAGAAGCUUGCUUCUCUUGAGAGCGGCGGACGGGUGAGUAAUGCCUAGGAAUCUGCCUGGUAGUGGGGGAUAACGUUCGGAAACGGACGCUAAUACCGCAUACGUCCUACGGGAGAAAGCAGGGGACCUUCGGGCCUUGCGCUAUCAGAUGAGCCUAGGUCGGAUUAGCUAGUUGGUGGGGUAAUGGCUCACCAAGGCGACGAUCCGUAACCGGUCUGAGAGGAUGAUCAGUCACACUGGAACUGAGACACGGUCCAGACUCCUACGGGAGGCAGCAGUGGGGAAUAUUGGACAAUGGGCGAAAGCCUGAUCCAGCCAUGCCGCGUGUGUGAAGAAGGUCUUCGGAUUGUAAAGCACUUUAAGUUGGGAGGAAGGGUUGUAGAUUAAUACUCUGCAAUUUUGACGUUACCGACAGAAUAAGCACCGGCUAACUCUGUG
RNAcentral lists this ribosomal RNA (448 nucleotides) under uncultured bacterium. RNAcentral describes it as "bacterial SSU rRNA". It matches the Rfam family "Bacterial small subunit ribosomal RNA", at positions 64 to 507 of the family's 1533-position model. The record is from RNAcentral.